AUUCUGACUGCUGACACAAACCUCCCUUUGACAACUGAAAAGGCAGAAGACUUGAUUCUUUUGGCUCCUGUUUAUCUGGAAAAGGCUCUUCACUCAUUUUGGUUCAGACGUUCCAGCUCCAGGUGCAGCUUUUCAGCCACUGAAAAUAUUAUUUUGGUUGUCAUUGCAUCAAUACUUGGACCACUGCAACUAAACCAGUUAACAGUUUUGCGUUAAGGACAAAAAGCAAAUAAUUAUGAAGA
Girardinichthys multiradiatus is the source of this 242-nucleotide long non-coding RNA. RefSeq lists it as uncharacterized. The record is from RefSeq and is a predicted model, not a curated record. Lineage: Eukaryota; Metazoa; Chordata; Actinopteri; Cyprinodontiformes; Goodeidae. The transcript is spliced from 3 exons.